AGGGGUAUAGCUCAAUUGGCAAGAGUAGCGGUCUCCAAAACCGCCCGUCCAGGUUCAAGUCCUGGUGCCCCUG
This 73-nucleotide transfer RNA is filed under the name Kouleothrix aurantiaca. It matches the Rfam family "tRNA". From Rfam's summary of the family: Transfer RNA (tRNA) molecules are approximately 80 nucleotides in length. Their secondary structure includes four short double-helical elements and three loops (D, anti-codon, and T loops). The record is from Rfam by way of RNAcentral. Lineage: Bacteria; Bacillati; Chloroflexota; Chloroflexia; Chloroflexales; Roseiflexaceae.